GUCGGUUAGCAUGUGUGCAUUUUUACCAUGGGGCCUGGGACGGCCAUUCCACCUCCGGAUUUCUCAUCAAAGCCACCAGACAUUUGAGGAGAAAAGUUCUGUGGAGGGACAAGAAGAAAAAGCAAAGACCUUAUUCUGGCCUAAACAAACUCUGGAAGUUUUGCACCUGGCCUGAAGGUACAUUUAAGUUACACCUUUUACCGGUUGGAGAAAUUUAGUAUUUUCCCACUUUAGGAUAAGAUACUUACUCCACCAAGGCCAGGAGGUCCAGGGGGGCCUGGGGGCCCAGGAAGGCCAGGCUGUCCAGGGAUUCCAUCAUUGCCAGCUGGGCCGGCAGGACCCUGUUUAAGGUCAAAGGAAGGGAAAAUUAGGAUUUAAGGGGAUGAG
Molecule: long non-coding RNA, 387 nt
Organism: Rhinichthys klamathensis goyatoka
Lineage: Eukaryota; Metazoa; Chordata; Actinopteri; Cypriniformes; Leuciscidae
Exons: 2
Source: RefSeq, a predicted model, not a curated record